Molecule: ribosomal RNA, 431 nt
Filed under: uncultured bacterium
Lineage: Bacteria
Description: partial 16S ribosomal RNA
Rfam family: Bacterial small subunit ribosomal RNA
Source: RNAcentral
AACGAACGCUGGCGGCAGGCCUAACACAUGCAAGUCGAGCGCCCUUUCGGGGGAGCGGCGGCCGGGUGAGUAACGCGUGGGAAUAUGCCCUUCUCUACGGAAUAGCCUCGGGAAACUGAGAGUAAUACCGUAUACGCCCUGUGGGGGAAAGAUUUAUCGGGGAAGGAUUAGCCCGCGUUGGAUUAGGUAGUUGGUGGGGUAAUGGCCUACCAAGCCGACGAACCAUAGCUGGUUUGAGAGGAUGAUCAGCCACACUGGGACUGAGACACGGCCCAGACUCCUACGGGAGGCAGCAGUGGGGAAUCUUAGACAAUGGGGGCAACCCUGAUCUAGCCAUGCCGCGUGAGUGAUGAAGGCCUUAGGGUUGUAAAGCUCUUUCAGCUGGGAAGAUAAUGACGGUACCAGCAGAAGAAGCCCCGGCUAACUCCGUG